CUGGCUCCUGGUGCCUCUCUAUGGAGAGCACCUCUGUGCCUCUCUGAGAGCACUCACAGCCAAAAGUACACAGCUGCCCCCAGGCUGAGAGUGCUUGAUACACCCUUGAAUCCCCUCUUAUAUGAUGCCCCAGCCCAGGAGAGAUAAAAGCAUCAGCACCAUGAGAUUCACCUGCCUCUGGUCGUUAGGUAAGUUCACAGGCACUAGCGUUGAAAGAUUCUAGGACUGAGGGAUGUUAAACUCAAUUAAAUUUACCUGGACGCAGCAAUUGCUUAGCUGGUGGUGUGUCCAAGUUAAGAAACUAAAAUGCUAAUGUGUAGCACCAGUGCCUCUGAUGGCUUAGUGGCUUCUCUGAAAGUGGGUAACCAGAGUAAGAUUUUAUUUUAGCUUACUUUUUAGCUUACUCUAUUUUGUUUAAAAAUGUGGUUUGUGUUUAAUCCUCUGGAAGUCCUCUGUGUCAGCAUGGCUUUUCUUUCCUGCUGUGUGGGACUUUAUACAAGACAUCUCUUGCCAGAUUUUGGAAUUCCCUGGCAAGGAAGAGAGGCAAUUUGAGUAACCUGGCCACAGACAAAUACAUUUCACUUCAGCAAAGCUUUUCAGAUGUCAUUGAAGAUGUGUGAGAAACCAGAUAGAAAGCUAUAGAAAAUGCUCUUUGAAAAAGUAUUCCCUCAUUGACUGCUUAGUGAAGCUCUUGCCAUACGAUCUCCUGAAUGGGAUAGAUAACUUCAGGUCGUUGCUUUGCCAAGGAGAGGUUUGUUAGACCAUAGGGACAGGGCUUGGGUGAUGGUCAACUGUCUCAGUACAGGCUAUGUGGGGCCUCCUUUACAGCUUCAACAAUAAGUAUCAAGGCUAGGGUCAAAAUGUACAUAGUUUGGUUUGCUUGUCUUUUUUUUUUUUUUUUGAAACAGAAUCUCGCUCUGUUGAUCAGGCUGGAGUGCAGUGGUCCGAUCUCGGCUCACUGCAACCUCUGCCUCCUGGGUUCAAGCGAUUCUCCUGCCUCAGACUCCUGAGUGGCUGGGACUACAGGUGCACGCCACCACGCCCGGCUAAUUUUUGUAUUUUUAGCAGAGGCAAGGUUUCACCAUGUUGACCAGGAUGGUCUCGAUCUCCUGACCUCAUCAUCCACCCACCUCGGCCUCCCAAAAGUGCUGGGAUUACAGGCAUGAGCCACUGUGCCCUGCUGCUUGUCCUUUUUAAAAUAAUGCUCAUGUGCCUGUUUGAAAAGUCAAUGCUGGCUUACGUAGUUU
RNAcentral lists this long non-coding RNA (1247 nucleotides) under Homo sapiens (human). RNAcentral's name for it is "non-protein coding lnc-DNTTIP2-1:6". Lineage: Eukaryota; Metazoa; Chordata; Mammalia; Primates; Hominidae. The record is from RNAcentral.